RNAcentral lists this ribosomal RNA (434 nucleotides) under uncultured Lachnospiraceae bacterium. RNAcentral describes it as "partial 16S ribosomal RNA". It matches the Rfam family "Bacterial small subunit ribosomal RNA", at positions 341 to 792 of the family's 1533-position model. The record is from RNAcentral. Lineage: Bacteria; Bacillati; Bacillota; Clostridia; Lachnospirales; Lachnospiraceae.
ACGGAAGGCAGCAGUGGGGAAUAUUGGACAAUGGGGGAAACCCUGAUCCAGCGACGCCGCGUGAGUGAAGAAGUAUUUCGGUAUGUAAAGCUCUAUCAGCAGGGAAGAUAAUGACGGUACCUGACUAAGAAGCCCCGGCUAACUACGUGCCAGCAGCCGCGGUAAUACGUAGGGGGCAAGCGUUAUCCGGAUUUACUGGGUGUAAAGGGAGUGUAGGUGGUCUGGCAAGUCAGAUGUGAAAGCCCGCGGCUCAACCGCGGGACUGCAUUUGAAACUGUCAGACUGGAGUGCAGGAGAGGAAAGUGGAAUUCCUAGUGUAGCGGUGAAAUGCGUAGAUAUUAGGAGGAACACCAGUGGCGAAGGCGGCUUACUGGACUGUAACUGACGUUGAGGCUCGAAAGCGUGGGGAGCAAACAGGAUUAGAUACCCUGGUA